UGAACCCUUGUGGCAUCCGUGUCCAGGU
This 28-nucleotide non-coding RNA is filed under the name Mus musculus (house mouse). Lineage: Eukaryota; Metazoa; Chordata; Mammalia; Rodentia; Muridae. The record is from RNAcentral.